This 411-nucleotide ribosomal RNA is filed under the name uncultured bacterium. Its description in RNAcentral is "bacterial SSU rRNA". It matches the Rfam family "Bacterial small subunit ribosomal RNA", at positions 508 to 921 of the family's 1533-position model. The record is from RNAcentral.
UCAGCAGCCGCGGUAAUACGGAGGAUGCGAGCGUUAUCCGGAUUUAUUGGGUUUAAAGGGUGCGUAGGCGGGAUAAUAAGUCAGUGGUGAAAACCUGCAGCUUAACUGUAGAACUGCCAUUGAUACUGUUAUUCUUGAGUGUGGUCAAGGUAGGCGGAAUGUGUAAUGUAGCGGUGAAAUGCUUAGAUAUUACACAGAACACCGAUUGCGAAGGCAGCUUACUGGACCAUUACUGACGCUGAUGCACGAAAGCGUGGGGAGCGAACAGGAUUAGAUACCCUGGUAGUCCACGCCGUAAACGAUGAUCACUCGCUGUUAGCGAUACACAGUUAGCGGCUAAGCAAAAGCAUUAAGUGAUCCACCUGGGGAGUACGGCCGCAAGGCUGAAACUUAAAGGAAUUGGCGGGGGAU